GAUGAUUUAGAUUUAUUCUGACUUUGUAAGAUCUUUACAAAGUUAAGGUUUGUUUUGGAUGACUUAGGUUUUAUGAAUUAAAAUAGGGUUUAUGUUUUGGAUGAUUUCAAGAGUUUAGUAAUAGAUCUAUGGAUAAAAUUUUGUGGAUUUAUAGUUAUAGUUGUGUUUAAUAUGUGUUGUAAAUUUGACAUCGAUCUAAUGAUUAAAUUGAGAGAUAUUGAGGUUUAAGUGGGUCAAGGUCUCAGAAAGUAGAAUUUUAGGUUCAGUGGGAGUGUUUAAGAUUUCUUGCAAUCUACUAGUUAGAUUAGAGUGAAACUAAG
RNAcentral lists this long non-coding RNA (320 nucleotides) under Physcomitrium patens. RNAcentral describes it as "long non-coding RNA (PPAT_LNC002576)". The record is from RNAcentral. Lineage: Eukaryota; Viridiplantae; Streptophyta; Bryopsida; Funariales; Funariaceae.